Chelonoidis abingdonii (Abingdon island giant tortoise) is the source of this 481-nucleotide non-coding RNA. Lineage: Eukaryota; Metazoa; Chordata; Testudines; Testudinidae. The record is from RefSeq and is a predicted model, not a curated record.
CCCAAAAUGCUUCUUCACUCUCACUGCUGUCAGGUGCCCAGCGGGCACUGGCACGCACGGGUCAUUUCUACCCGGCGUGCGCUCACUGCUCUCCUUAGUCUUCCAUGGAGCCUUGCGGGAAAAUGUUCAACACCAGGGCAAUAAAUGGGGAUCGCUUCAGGGUCCGAGGCCGGAAGAGACCGUUGUGAUCAUCUCAUCGGACCACCUGCAUAGAGCAGGCCAGAACUACCCCCAAAUAAUUCCUGGAGCAGAGCUUUCAGCAUGGGGCUGCAGGGAUAGACAGAGGGGUCUGUAUGGGGAUGGAGCGAGAGCAGAUGCCAGGAUGGAGAAAGAGAAUCUCCAGCAGGAAGAGUCUGUGGGAGCAGAGCCACAUGGAACAUCCUGGAGCAGGAAGGGGCAGAGUGGAAACCUCUCAGGAAAAAGACCCGCUGGAGAAGAGGUAGAUUUGAGGUAUCCCUCUGGGCAGCUGAGGCUCAGCAAA